CCCGUUUUGUCUGCUUCCUCUGAUUUAUUUUCUGUUCUGUGUGCAUGCAAGUUUGCGCCUGUACAUACAAAUGAGCGAGCAUUAUUGUUUCAUGCAAAGCAAAUUAUUGUAUCAUGCAAAGUAAAGAAAUAGCAGCGCGUACGUGUACAUGUCCUCCAUGAUGAGGACACACGGGCGAGUUGCGACGGCUACAACUUCCUUUUUUUUUUUGAGGGCACUUCUUUGUGUUGUUUAGAGAGAUUGAACAGGUGUGGCCGUGUAGGGUAGUAGGUGAACAAGGAAAGAGAAUAAACAUUUCUUGAUAAAAAAAUAUAGAGUUGAUUUUUUUUGAGAGAGCAAUAUAGAGUUGAUGAACACCACUCAGUUUGAGAUACAGAGGAAACAGAGAGCACAAGCCGGGCCAGUGUGAAGUUCUUUCUGAAUCUCGUGGGCCUCUUUUGCAUGGGCUUAUAGAAACAAGGCCAACGCGUCAAGAAAAAACGUGGCCCGGUGUGGCUG
This 498-nucleotide long non-coding RNA is filed under the name Brachypodium distachyon (stiff brome). RNAcentral describes it as "long non-coding RNA (BDIS_LNC001485)". The record is from RNAcentral. Lineage: Eukaryota; Viridiplantae; Streptophyta; Magnoliopsida; Poales; Poaceae.